GCAACAGCUCAAAUUUGAAAUCUGGCGUCUUCGGCGUCCGAGUUGUAAUUUGCAGAGGGCGCUUUGGCAUUGGCAGCGGUCCAAGUUCCUUGGAACAGGACGUCACAGAGGGUGAGAAUCCCGUACGUGGUCGCUAGCCUUUACCGUGUAAAGCCCCUUCGACGAGUCGAGUUGUUUGGGAAUGCAGCUCUAAAUGGGAGGUAAAUUUCUUCUAAAGCUAAAUACUGGCCAGAGACCGAUAGCGCACAAGUAGAGUGAUCGAAAGAUGAAAAGCACUUUGGAAAGAGAGUUAAAAAGCACGUGAAAUUGUUGAAAGGGAAGCGCUUGCAGCCAGACUUGCCUGUAGUUGCUCAUCCGGGUUUCUACCCGGUGCACUCUUCUAUAGGCAGGCCAGCAUCAGUUUGGGCGGUUGGAUAAAGGUCUCUGUCAUGUACCUCCUCUCGGGGAGAACUUAUAGGGGAGACGACAUGCAACCAGCCCGGACUGAGGUCCGCGCAUCUGCUAGGAUGCUGGCGUAAUGGCUGUAAGCGGCCCGUCUUGAAACACGGACCAAGGAGUCUAACAUCUAUGCGAGUGUUUGGGUGUCAAGCCCGAACGCGUAAUGAAAGUGAACGGAGGUGGGAACCUUUCGGGGUGCACCAUCGACCGAUCCUGAUGUCUUCGGAUGGAUUUGAGUAAGAGCAUAGCUGUUGGGACCCGAAAGAUGGUGAACUAUGCUUGAAUAGGGUGAAGCCAGAGGAAACUCUGGUGGAGGCUCGCAGCGGUUCUGACGUGCAAAUCGAUCGU
Molecule: ribosomal RNA, 786 nt
Filed under: Remotididymella anthropophila
Lineage: Eukaryota; Fungi; Ascomycota; Dothideomycetes; Pleosporales; Didymellaceae
Description: partial large subunit ribosomal RNA
Rfam family: Eukaryotic large subunit ribosomal RNA
Source: RNAcentral